RNAcentral lists this ribosomal RNA (613 nucleotides) under Pseudomonas sp. Its description in RNAcentral is "bacterial SSU rRNA". It matches the Rfam family "Bacterial small subunit ribosomal RNA", at positions 775 to 1405 of the family's 1533-position model. Lineage: Bacteria; Pseudomonadati; Pseudomonadota; Gammaproteobacteria; Pseudomonadales; Pseudomonadaceae. The record is from RNAcentral.
GGAUUASAUACCCUGGUAUCCACGCCGUAAACGAUGUCACUACCGUUGGGAUCCUUGAAUCUUAGUGGCGCAGCUAACGCGAUAAGUCACCGCCUGGGGAGUACGGCCGCAAGGUUAAAACUCAAAUGAAUUGACGGGGGCCCGCACAAGCGGGGAGAUGUGGUUUAAUUCAAGCAACGCGAAAACCUUACCUGGCCUUGACAUGUCCGGAAUCUUGCAAGAUGCGAGAGUGCCUUCGGGAAUCGGAACACAGGUGCUGCAUGGYUGUCUCAGCUCGUGUCGGAGAUGUUGGGUUAAGUCCCGUAACGAGCGCAACCCUUGUCCUUAGUACCAGCACGUAUGGUGGGCACUCUAAGGAGACUGCCGGUGACAAACCGGAGGAAGGUGGGGAUGACGUCAAGUCAUCAUGGCCCUUACGGCGGGCUACACACGUGCUACAAUGGUCGGUACGAGGGUUGCCAAGCCGCGAGGUGGAGCUAAUCCCAUAAAACCGAUCGUAGUCCGGAUCGCAGUCUGCAACUCUACUGCGUGAAGUCGGAAUCSCUAGUAAUCGUGAAUCCAAAUGUCACGGGAAUACGUUCCCGGGCCUUGUACACACCGCCCGUCACACCAU